This is a non-coding RNA of Cricetulus griseus (Chinese hamster), 1991 nucleotides long. Lineage: Eukaryota; Metazoa; Chordata; Mammalia; Rodentia; Cricetidae. The record is from RefSeq and is a predicted model, not a curated record.
UCAAAGAGGGAAGCCAGGCAUCUCCCUAACAGCACGGCUGAGUCAUCUUCACUGCUACUUAAGAAUGAGUAGCAGGCUUGGAAUGCAGGACCAGCCCAGCCAGCUCAGCCCACACAGAGCAGGACUCCAGAGGGACCACCUCUUCUCCAGCUCUUGCCCUGCAGCACAUCCCAGACAAAGCUGGGCCCUGCCCAUUUGCCCUGUUUCUCUGCAAAGCCAGGAAGACUUCAGUUGCUGCGGACCUGUGACUAGUCUACAGAAUUAUCUCAGAAGAAAUGACUACACAAAAAUGAGAUGGCUGUGGGGCUUUUACUCUAGAGUCGCAGUGGCACGUGGACUUGCAGAUGUCACAAGGCACUGUUUGCAGAACUGUUUCCAGUGUCUUUUGGAAACUAAGACACCAGCUAUCAGGCUCCAGCCCCCACUUCCUCCAUCCACGUGAAUCAGAAGUCAGUAGGUUCCCUUUCCCUUUCCGUCAUGCUGCACUGGAGAAGGCUGACCAGUUUGCACCCCGCCACACCCACUGCGUUCAUUCAGCAGUCUGAGUAGGUCAGAUUCUUGAGGGAGACACAAAUGGAUCCUGGAGUUUAACAGUGGAAAUAAAAGCAUCAGAGGGUUCAGAGGAGGAAGAUGGUAGUCCUAGGCAAGGUGUUCUGAAGGGGAAGAAGAAGGAAUUUAAACUGUAGUUAGAAGGACUGGCAGGCUGAGUGGAGGAGGCAUGCAGGCUCAGUGCAAGGGAAGUGACGUGGGAAUAGGCAGAGAUGCUGACCCUCCGAGUAGCAGAAGAAGGCUGGCACUGGGAAGACACCCAGAAAAGGCUGGCACUGGGAAGACACCCAGUCCAGGCCAACGCCUUGGCUGUGCGUACUCUGUGCUGGAAAGUUCCAUCUCAGUUUUGCUUGCUUGUUUAGAGAUGGGUGAGGAGUGGCGGCAAUGGUGUGUUACUAUGUAGCCCACACUGGCCUUGUCCCUCCUGCCCCUCUACCUUCUGGGUCCUGGGAUUGCAGGUGUGGGAAAUCUCUUCAGUGGCCCAUCAGGACGAGGCCACUCUGUGGAGUGACCCGCUCCCCUGGUGGAAAGGGUAGAAGGACCCCUGACAGCAGAAUGUGCAAGUGAGGACAUGGGAAGGAUUCAACAUGGCCCAGCGGCUCAUAUUCAUAGAGGAGGGAGUUGAACAGAGGCAGGGUCCUGGACAGUCCUGGCUUGGGGGUCUUUUUGGUACCCUGGGGGCAGAUAACAGGGAAGUGGGAACAAGGGAAGGAUGGGAUUCUCAUGACUUUCAGAAAUAUUCACCAGUCAGGCACAGGGGCAGUGGUGUGAUGUGGACACUGAGGCAGUGGUGUGAAGAGGACACUGGGGCAGUGGUGUGAAGAGGACACUGGGGCAGUGGUGUGAAGUGGACACUGGGGCAGUGGUGUGAUGUGGGCACUGGGGCAGUGGGCAGUGGUGUGAAGAGGACACUGGGGCAGUGGUGUGAAGUGAACACUGGGGCAGUGGUGUGAAGUGGACACUGGGGCCGUGGUGUGAAGAGGACACUGGGGCAGUGGUGUGAUGUGGGCACUGGGGCAGUGGUGUGAAGUGGACACUGGGGCAGUGGGCAGUGGUGUGAUGUGGGCACAGGGCAGUGGUGAUGGCACAGUAGGAUGUUCUUGAAACACCCUUGGGGAAAGGUGAUCAGAAGGAUGGGACAAAAGGCCAAGUGGAAGCAGCACUUUUGUGACAGAGCUAGUGGGACUGGUGUGAAGACAGAGUCACCAUUUCGUUUGGUCAUUUGUCAGAGGCAAUGGUGUGGCUUACGCAUCAUGUCCACCCUCUGGACUUCUUCUGCUCUUCUCAGCCUGCUGGACAUGCAGCCCUGUCCUGUGCGAUCGUCUCACCAGCAAGAACGACACAGGACACUCGGAUCCUUCUGCAGUCAAGCUUUAAUGCAUCUUGAGAGGGAGAGCAAAAGCUUACAGAGCGGGAACCCCGAACUCCCAAAAACCCAUCCC